Molecule: ribosomal RNA, 407 nt
Filed under: uncultured bacterium
Lineage: Bacteria
Description: bacterial SSU rRNA
Rfam family: Bacterial small subunit ribosomal RNA
Source: RNAcentral
GUGGGGAAUAUUGCACAAUGGGGGGAACCCUGAUGCAGCGACGCCGCGUGAGUGACGAAGUAUCUCGGUAUGUAAAGCUCUGUCAGCAGGGAAGAAGAAUGACGGUACCUGAAGAAGAAGCACCGGCUAAAUACGUGCCAGCAGCCGCGGUAAUACGUAUGGUGCAAGCGUUAUCCGGAUUUACUGGGUGUAAAGGGAGCGCAGGCGGCGCGGCAAGUCCGGUGUGAAAGCCCGGGGCUCAACCCCGGUACUGCACUGGAAACUGUCGUGCUUGAGUGUCGGAGGGGCAGGCGGAAUUCCUGGUGUAGCGGUGAAAUGCGUAGAUAUCAGGAGGAACACCGGUGGCGAAGGCGGCCUGCUGGACGACAACUGACGCUGAGGCUCGAAAGCGUGGGGAGCAAACAGGA